AAGUCGUAACAAGGUCUCCGUAGGUGAACCUGCGGAAGGAUCAUUACAAAUAAAGCUGGUAGGAAGUGGGAGUUCUUGAUCUAGUGAAGUGGUAGAAGCGACCGAGUCCGGCCUGCCUCCCGAAAUGUCUUACAUGUCCCCCACAGCCUGAAGGCCGAAUUACAACCCUUGAUUAUCUACACUUGCUUGCUUUGGGGUGCUCAAGUGCCCCCAGAGGACCCAACUCUCUUGCAUUUAGUGACGUCUGAGUACUAUAUAAUAUUUAAAA
This 268-nucleotide unclassified non-coding RNA is filed under the name plant metagenome. Its description in RNAcentral is "partial contains small subunit ribosomal RNA and internal transcribed spacer 1". The stretch from base 1 to 46 matches the Rfam family "Eukaryotic small subunit ribosomal RNA", at positions 1786 to 1831 of the family's 1831-position model. The record is from RNAcentral.